Molecule: transfer RNA, 72 nt
Filed under: Marmota monax (woodchuck)
Lineage: Eukaryota; Metazoa; Chordata; Mammalia; Rodentia; Sciuridae
Description: tRNA.Ala
Rfam family: tRNA (bases 7-67)
About the family: Transfer RNA (tRNA) molecules are approximately 80 nucleotides in length. Their secondary structure includes four short double-helical elements and three loops (D, anti-codon, and T loops).
Source: RNAcentral
UGGGGAUAUAGCUCAGUGGUAGAGCACUUGCCCAGCGUGCAUGAGGCCCUGGGUUCAAUCCCCAGUGCACAA